UUUCCGUAGGUGAACCUGCGGAAGGAUCAUUCAUAAUAAGUGUUUUACUGCACUUUUUAAAAAUAGUACUCACCUUGUGUGCAAUGUUGUGUUUCUUUUCGGAGAAACACCUACACCAACCUAUAACCUUGAACCACUUUGUCUGAAAAACUAUUAUGAAUACUUAAUUCAAAAAACAACUUUCAACAACGGAUCUCUUGGCUCUC
RNAcentral lists this unclassified non-coding RNA (206 nucleotides) under plant metagenome. RNAcentral describes it as "partial contains small subunit ribosomal RNA, internal transcribed spacer 1, and 5.8S ribosomal RNA". The record is from RNAcentral.